GGGCAGCAUGGUCUUAGCUUGCUAAGGCCGAUGGCGACCGGCGCACGGGUGAGUAACACGUAUCCAACCUGCCGUCUACUCUUGGACAGCCUUCUGAAAGGAAGAUUAAUACAAGAUGGCAUCAUGAGUCCGCAUGUUCACAUGAUUAAAGGUAUUCCGGUAGACGAUGGGGAUGCGUUCCAUUAGAUAGUAGGCGGGGUAACGGCCCACCUAGUCUUCGAUGGAUAGGGGUUCUGAGAGGAAGGUCCCCCACAUUGGAACUGAGACACGGUCCAAACUCCUACGGGAGGCAGCAGUGAGGAAUAUUGGUCAAUGGGCGCAGGCCUGAACCAGCCAAGUAGCGUGAAGGAUGACUGCCCUAUGGGUUGUAAACUUCUUUUAUAAAGGAAUAAAGUCGGGUAUGUAUACCCGUUUGCAUGUACUUUAUGAAUAAGGAUCGGCUAACUCCGUGCCAGCAGCCGCGGUAAUACGGAGGAUCCGAGCGUUAUCCGGAUUUAUUGGGUUUAAAGGGAGCGUAGAUGGAUGUUUAAGUCAGUUAUGAAAGUUUGCGGCUCAACCGUAAAAUUGCAGUUGAUACUGGAUAUCUUGAGUGCAGUUGAGGCAGGCGGAAUUCGUGGUGUAGCGGUGAAAUGCUUAGAUAUCACGAAGAACUCCGAUUGCGAAGGCAGCCUGCUAAGCUGCAACUGACAUUGAGGCUCGAAAGUGUGGGUAUCAACAGGAUUAAUACCCUGGUAGUCACACGGUA
Molecule: ribosomal RNA, 745 nt
Filed under: uncultured bacterium
Lineage: Bacteria
Description: bacterial SSU rRNA
Rfam family: Bacterial small subunit ribosomal RNA
Source: RNAcentral